This 373-nucleotide ribosomal RNA is filed under the name uncultured organism. RNAcentral describes it as "partial 16S ribosomal RNA". It matches the Rfam family "Bacterial small subunit ribosomal RNA", at positions 527 to 896 of the family's 1533-position model. The record is from RNAcentral.
GUAGGUGGCAAGCGUUGUCCGGAAUUUUUGGGCGUAAAGCGCGCGCAGGCGGUCCUUUAAGUCUGAUGUGAAAGCCCACGGCUCAACCGUGGAGGGUCAUUGGAAACUGGGGGACUUGAGUACAGAAGAGGAAAGCGGAAUUCCACGUGUAGCGGUGAAAUGCGUAGAGAUGUGGAGGAACACCAGUGGCGAAGGCGGCUUUCUGGUCUGUAACUGACGCUGAGGCGCGAAAGCGUGGGGAGCAAACAGGGAUUAGAUACCCUGUUAGUCCACGCCGUAAACGAUGAGUGCUAAGUGUUAGGGGGUUUCCCGCCCCUUAGUGCUGCAGCUAACGCAUUAAGCACUCCGCCUGGGGAGUACGGCCGCAAGGCUG